CGUCUUUCAUUCGGUUCAGCUAUCGGUGAAUUUCGCUCCGAGCUGCCCUAUGAAGGACUGU
RNAcentral lists this microRNA precursor (61 nucleotides) under Ascaris suum (pig roundworm). RNAcentral's name for it is "Asu-Mir-22-P2_pre stem-loop". The record is from RNAcentral. Lineage: Eukaryota; Metazoa; Nematoda; Chromadorea; Rhabditida; Ascarididae.